CAGCAGCCGCGGUAAUACGUAGGGUGCGAGCGUUAAUCGGAAUUACUGGGCGUAAAGCGUGCGCAGGCGGUUGUGUAAGACAGGUGUGAAAUCCCCGGGCUUAACCUGGGAACUGCGCUUGUGACUGCACGGCUAGAGUAUGGCAGAGGGGGGUGGAAUUCCACGUGUAGCAGUGAAAUGCGUAGAGAUGUGGAGGAACACCGAUGGCGAAGGCAGCCCCCUGGGCCAAUACUGACGCUCAUGCACGAAAGCGUGGGGAGCAAACAGGAUUAGAUACCCGGGUAGUCCCUGUCUCUUAUAC
RNAcentral lists this ribosomal RNA (301 nucleotides) under uncultured bacterium. Its description in RNAcentral is "partial 16S ribosomal RNA". It matches the Rfam family "Bacterial small subunit ribosomal RNA", at positions 509 to 807 of the family's 1533-position model. The record is from RNAcentral.